RNAcentral lists this ribosomal RNA (2981 nucleotides) under Paraburkholderia lebeckiae. RNAcentral describes it as "23S ribosomal RNA". It matches the Rfam family "Bacterial large subunit ribosomal RNA". Lineage: Bacteria; Pseudomonadati; Pseudomonadota; Betaproteobacteria; Burkholderiales; Burkholderiaceae. The record is from RNAcentral.
GGUCAAGCGAACAAGUGCAUGUGGUGGAUGCCUUGGCGAUCACAGGCGAUGAAGGACGCGGUAGCCUGCGAAAAGCUCCGGGGAGCUGGCAAACGAGCAUUGAUCCGGAGAUGUCCGAAUGGGGAAACCCACUCCUAAUGGAGUAUCCGUAGCUGAAUCCAUAGGCUGCGUGAGGCGAACGCGGUGAACUGAAACAUCUAAGUAACCGCAGGAAAAGAAAUCAACCGAGAUUCCCAGAGUAGUGGCGAGCGAAAUGGGAUCAGCCGGUACACGUUAUCUGUAUUGUUAGUCGAACGCUCUGGAAAGUGCGGCCAUAGCAGGUGAUAGCCCUGUAGACGAAAACAGCAUGGAAGAACUGGGUGUACGAGAAGUAGGGCGGGACACGUGAAAUCCUGUCUGAAGAUGGGGGGACCAUCCUCCAAGGCUAAAUACUCGUGAUCGACCGAUAGUGAACCAGUACCGUGAGGGAAAGGCGAAAAGAACCCCGGGAGGGGAGUGAAACAGAUCCUGAAACCGCAUGCAUACAAACAGUCGGAGCCUCUGCGAAGGGGUGACGGCGUACCUUUUGUAUAAUGGGUCAGCGACUUACAUUCAGUGGCGAGCUUAACCGAUUAGGGCAGGCGUAGCGAAAGCGAGUCCGAACAGGGCGUCCAGUCGCUGGGUGUAGACCCGAAACCAGGUGAUCUAUCCAUGGUCNNNNNNNNNNNNNNNNNNNNNNNNNNNNNNNNNNNNNNNNNNNNNNNNNNNNNNNNNNNNNNNNNNNNNNNNNNNNNNNNNNNNNNNNNNNNNNNNNUCAGGUUGAAGGCACGGUAACACGUGCUGGAGGACCGAACCCACUAACGUUGAAAAGUUAGGGGAUGAGCUGUGGAUAGGGGUGAAAGGCUAAACAAACCUGGAAAUAGCUGGUUCUCUCCGAAAACUAUUUAGGUAGUGCCUCGUGUAUCACCUUCGGGGGUAGAGCACUGUCAUGGUUGUGGGGUCCAUUGCGGAUUACUACGCCAUAGCAAACUCCGAAUACCGAAGAGUGCAAUCACGGGAGACAGACAUCGGGUGCUAACGUCCGGUGUCAAGAGGGAAACAACCCAGACCGCCAGCUAAGGUCCCCAAAUAUGGCUAAGUGGGAAACGAAGUGGGAAGGCUAAAACAGUCAGGAGGUUGGCUUAGAAGCAGCCACCCUUUAAAGAAAGCGUAAUAGCUCACUGAUCGAGUCGUCCUGCGCGGAAGAUGUAACGGGGCUAAGCCAUAUACCGAAGCUGCGGAUGCACAGUCAUGUGCAUGGUAGGAGAGCGUUCCGUAAGCCUGCGAAGGUGCACUGGAAAGUGUGCUGGAGGUAUCGGAAGUGCGAAUGCUGACAUGAGUAGCGAUAAAGGGGGUGAAAGGCCCCCUCGCCGUAAGCCCAAGGUUUCCUACGCAACGUUCAUCGGCGUAGGGUGAGUCGGCCCCUAAGGCGAGGCAGAAAUGCGUAGCUGAUGGGAAGCAGAUUAAUAUUUCUGCACCAUUGUGAAAUGCGAUGGGGGGACGGAUCGCGGAAGGUUGUCCGGGUGUUGGAAGUCCCGGUCCUUGCAUUGGAGAAGGCGCUUUGGCAAAUCCGGGCGCAGGAUUCAAGGGUGCGAGGCGAGCCACUUCGGUGGCGAAGCAACUGGAAGGGGUUCCAGGAAAAGCCUCUAAGCUUCAGUUUCACAGUGACCGUACCGCAAACCGACACAGGUGGGCGAGAUGAGUAUUCUAAGGCGCUUGAGAGAACUCGGGAGAAGGAACUCGGCAAAUUGGUACCGUAACUUCGGGAUAAGGUACGCCCUGGUAGCCUGACUGGCCUGCGCCAGAAGGGUGAAGGGGUUGCAAUAAACUGGUGGCUGCGACUGUUUAAUAAAAACACAGCACUCUGCAAACACGAAAGUGGACGUAUAGGGUGUGACGCCUGCCCGGUGCCGGAAGAUUAAAUGAUGGGGUGCAAGCUCCUGAUUGAAGUCCCGGUAAACGGCGGCCGUAACUAUAACGGUCCUAAGGUAGCGAAAUUCCUUGUCGGGUAAGUUCCGACCUGCACGAAUGGCGUAACGAUGGCCACACUGUCUCCUCCCGAGACUCAGCGAAGUUGAAGUGUUUGUGAUGAUGCAAUCUCCCCGCGGCUAGACGGAAAGACCCCAUGAACCUUUACUGUAGCUUUGCAUUGGACUUUGAACCGGUCUGUGUAGGAUAGGUGGGAGGCUAUGAAGCGUGGACGCCAGUCUGCGUGGAGCCGUCCUUGAAAUACCACCCUGAUCUGUUUGAGGUUCUAACCUUGGCCCGUGAUCCGGGUCGGGGACAGUGCAUGGUAGGCAGUUUGACUGGGGCGGUCUCCUCCCAAAGUGUAACGGAGGAGUACGAAGGUACGCUAGGUACGGUCGGAAAUCGUGCUGAUAGUGCAAUGGCAUAAGCGUGCUUGACUGUGAGACUGACAAGUCGAACAGGUGCGAAAGCAGGUCAUAGUGAUCCGGUGGUUCUGUAUGGAAGGGCCAUCGCUCAACGGAUAAAAGGUACUCUGGGGAUAACAGGCUGAUACCGCCCAAGAGUUCAUAUCGACGGCGGUGUUUGGCACCUCGAUGUCGGCUCAUCUCAUCCUGGGGCUGUAGCCGGUCCCAAGGGUAUGGCUGUUCGCCAUUUAAAGAGGUACGUGAGCUGGGUUUAAAACGUCGUGAGACAGUUUGGUCCCUAUCUGCCGUGGGCGCUGGAUAUUUGAAGGGGGCUGCUCCUAGUACGAGAGGACCGGAGUGGACGAACCUCUGGUGUACCGGUUGUCACGCCAGUGGCAUCGCCGGGUAGCUAUGUUCGGAAGAGAUAACCGCUGAAAGCAUCUAAGCGGGAAACUCGCCUUAAGAUGAGAUAUCCCCGGGGCUUCGAGCCCCUUGAAGGGUCGUUCAAGACCAGGACGUUGAUAGGUCAGGUGUGCACGUACAGUAAUGUACUGAGCUAACUGAUACUAAUUGCCCGUAAGGCUUGAUCCU